Gossypium arboreum is the source of this 107-nucleotide non-coding RNA. NCBI's taxonomy places the organism in Eukaryota, Viridiplantae, Streptophyta, Magnoliopsida, Malvales, Malvaceae. The record is from Rfam.
AAUCCAUGCAUCGGACAUUUCCUAAUUAACUCCUUAAAUCAUUCUCACACAUCAUAUAACGUUUCAUCUUUAAAUUGUCGAAAGGAUGUAAUAUCAUUUCUUAACUU